AGAAAUUAGUCUUUUUCUGAAACAGAUAAUGGAAAUCAUAUUUAAAUAUCAACAAGCAAUAUGGCGAAUAUAUAGAGGAUUCAUCGGACACUUUCCAAGUUUUCAUUCUUCCAACGAGAACCGGGAGAAAGAAGGAUCCCUCGGAGGACAUUAAGAAUUAGACGCGAAGAUUUUCCAUUAAAUGGAACAUUGAUUGAUUGCUGUGGAUAAAGUUCUACGAGGCGGCCGCGUGAUAAAUGGAUAUUUCGGAGUACUCCGGAAACUUUUCUCGUCUCCAACUUACCGGACCGUGAUAUUAUUUCCC
This is a long non-coding RNA of Trachymyrmex septentrionalis, 304 nucleotides long. RefSeq lists it as uncharacterized. NCBI's taxonomy places the organism in Eukaryota, Metazoa, Arthropoda, Insecta, Hymenoptera, Formicidae. The transcript has 3 exons. The record is from RefSeq and is a predicted model, not a curated record.